Molecule: long non-coding RNA, 3155 nt
Organism: Lagenorhynchus albirostris (white-beaked dolphin)
Lineage: Eukaryota; Metazoa; Chordata; Mammalia; Artiodactyla; Delphinidae
Exons: 5
Source: RefSeq, a predicted model, not a curated record
AUUCUCUCAGUAAACAUUUACACUGAGCACCUGUUAAGUCAACAUAGGCACCACGGUAGGGGCUGCGAAUUCAGCGUGAAGUGUGCCCACGGGGCCAGCGCGCGAUGGGCCCUCCGUCCACCAACAACCACUGAAUGAUUUUCCUAGAAAGAUGACAACUGCCACCAUUCACAGGAUCUUCCAAGAUGAGGAGGUCCUCUGGCCCCAAGGCUUGGCACAAGAGAAAUGGGAUGGCCCGUGGCUGGCUGGGCACACACUGUCUUAUGCUCAGCAACUUGUCUGGGAGCUCCGGUGUCCUGAGCCUUCUGUUUGCUCUUAACCAGGAAGAUGGGCAUCAUUCCACAGCAGUUUGCAAACGGGAGUCGGAAAGGGAAGUGACUUUCUUAAGAUCACACAGCCACACAAGCUGGAGCUAGGGUGGAAGCCCCAUGCCUGAAUCUAGAGGGGUCUCCACUCCGGAUGCACAGGGAAUCACUAGGGGAACUUGUACAACUGCCAACCUCUCAGCGGCUGCCCACAGAGGGUCCAAUUUAAUUGAUUUAAUUGGCGGGGCCUGGGCAGCGGUAGGGGGCAGGUUAGAGCGCCCCAGGUGAUGCUAAUAGGCUGCAGGAGCUGAGAAUCACUGUGCCAGAGCCUGCAGCACAAGCACGCUGGCUCGGGCGCAGAGGAACCAUCCCGGCUCUGCCGCUAACUUGCUGUGUGCAAAGCCAUAACCUCUCUCUUCUUCAGUUUCUUCAUUUGUCAAAAGGGAGAUCUCUUUCAGGGUCUCCUUCACAUGUGGGAUCUGUGAGUCAUGGGGUGAUGGGAAGACGCUUGAAGCCCUCAGCGGGGUGUGACUGCGGGAAGGGGCUUGAGGUCCUGGCCCCCCUGCCUGAGGCAAGUGGGGAGAGCGGGGCUCCUCUCCUAACGUGAUUCCCAGAACUCUUCUCUGUUCUCCGUUCCCGGUGGUGAAAAGCACGUUGCAGAACAAACAGAGCUAUGCCCGUUUCCCAGAUGAUGAAGGGCCGCCCGGAGGAUGCGUGUUGACCGGCCAACGUUCCCACUACAAAUGUGGGCCCCGGAGCCAGAAUUUCUUGAUUAGGAAAAAGUACUUCCUGCCGGCAGCGCCUCAGGAAGCGGAUCGUAAAAGUUCUUUUCCCCGCGCACCUCUUCGUGCGUGGGGCCUCUGCGUCCAGAGUCUGGAGCGCGAACCCGACGCGGCCAGGACAGAGCGGGAGGCCCUGAGCGGUACUGCGGGGCAGCGGCUCCCCCCGGCAGCUGUCCCAGGUUGCAGCGUCAGGGCAGUGGGUGUGGAUCCGCGCCGCGACCUCAGGCGCAACAGUUAGCAGUUUCCUUCCGUUUCCUAGCUCCCAGGCUCGGAAGGAAACCCUUUCGGUUGUGUGCGAGGACCUCUUCUGCUCCCUGGGGUCCAAGGAAGUGGAGCUCUGGGCCUCAGGUCACCGUGGCACUGCCGAGACUGGCUCUUCACUCGUCUUGGUCCCUGGGGGGCAGCGGCGCCAUCGAGUCCGGGUGCAGCCCCCGGGUCUUCAUGCCCUGUGCCUGCGGGCAGUCGUGGCCAGCCCACCCCGACGCGACUCCUCCCCCUUUGCCGAGACCACCACCCCUGUGCCCCCGUCUCAGUCGACUCCCCUCUUCAACUCAAGCCGCCACUCACAUCCCCCCUUCCCUCUGGAACCACACAGAUGGCUCCCCCUCCCCCGCCCCAGGGGCCUAAGACUUAACAGCUCUUUACUUGCGGAGUUGGGGUGGGUAGGUGAGAGAGUGCACCCUUUCAGAAACCCCAGAAUGACCUCUGUUUCCCAGAAUGGGAAGCGGGGAAGGGGAAGGAAGAAGCUCUAUUCUUCCUUCGGGCAUUCAGAGCAAAAGCAUUAGCGAAUGCCACUUCUACCCACACCCACACGGCUGAAACCAAACCAAACCCCAAACACCGACUUUUUUGGUUUUACUAAAUUGCUCACCUUGUUACAUUAGCCUCAUUUCACAGACAAAGAAACCAAGGCUUAAAGGGUUUAGUUACUUCAACUGCCACUUGGCCUUGGGUCACAGUUUACAGAGAUACCCACCUCACCAUUUGCAUACUCGGUGGGACUAGUGUCGGGUGGUGGGCACUGCCCCAAACUGUGUCCGCAUGGCUCUAAGCAGUUACUCACCUGCUGGGACACACCCUCCAUUACAACUUUAGCCACAGCCAGCAAAUGGGUAGGACUUGACCGAGAGACAAUUACAUUCCAGCCACUGAAGACAGAACUAGCUAAGCUUCCUUCAGGAAUGCAUCACCAUGGCUUAGGACUCUACAGCUUAGGUGUGCUUGAUUUUUGAUCACCUCUCCUGGACCAGACACUGUGCUCACAGUUUUAUGUAUAUUAUCAUAUCAUCCCCACAAGAAUCCUACUAAUAUCUUUGCUCUCCAGAUAAGGAAAAGGUUGCUAAGAGCGCUGAGUAACUUUCCCAAGUCCUGUAAUAAGCAGGUUGGCUAAUUGGGAUAUGAGCCUGAAUUUCCUAAUUUUAAUCCCCUGUUCUUUCCAUAAUGUAUCAGUGAAGGUAACUGGGCAAUUUCAUUUUUCAGAGAAAUAAAAGCAAGAGAGGGGAAUGCCAAUGUUCACUCCUUUCAUCUGUGGUGACACACGGGUAGACCACGGGGAAAGCAAUCAGACAUUUCAGUCUCAGGAACUCAGUGAUGGGAGAGCAGCCACGACAGUGGUUAUUCCACAAAGGACCACCAGGUAGCACCAUUGCACAACAGCUGCGUACCCAACAGCUCAACUCAGACCAGAAUGGGAAGAUGCAGCCCGGAGGAGUGGCCUGCUUUUCAUUAAGUCACUCAAAUGACCUGACGAGGGAGUUUGGAGACAAGAUACACAGAGGGAAGACCCUAUGAAGACAUAGGGAGAAGACAGCCAUCUGCAAGCCAAGGAGAGAGGCCUCGGGAGAAACCAACCCUGCUGACACCUUAAUCUUGGACUUCUAGCCUCCAGCACGGUGAAAAAAUAACUUUCUGUUGUUGAAGCCCGCCCUGUCUGUGGUCCUUUGAUAUGACAGCCUUGGCAAAUGAAUACACUGAGUUACACAGACUAACGGGGAAGAAGCCGUAAGGAUAGAAGAAGCUAAGAUUGCUUCUUUCAGCGAUAAAUCCCUUUUCCCAGAAUAAUUUGUGC